AGCGAACGCUGGCGGCAGGCCUAACACAUGCAAGUCGAACGAACCUUUCGGGGUUAGUGGCGGACGGGUGAGUAACACGUGGGAACGUGCCUUUAGGUUCGGAAUAACUCAGGGAAACUUGUGCUAAUACCAAAUGUGCCCUUCGGGGGAAAGAUUAAUCGCCUUUAGAGCGGCCCGCGUCUGAUUAGCUAGUUGGUUGAGGUAAUGGCUCACCAAGGCGACGAUCAGUAGCUGGUCUGAGAGGAUGAUCAGCCACAUUGGGACUGAGACACGGCCCAAACUCCUACGGGAGGCAGCAGUGGGGAAUCUUGCGCAAUGGGCGAAAGCCUGACGCAGCCAUGCCGCGUGAAUGAUGAAGGUCUUAGGAUUGUAAAAUUCUUUCACCGGGGACGAUAAUGACGGUACCCGGAGAAGAAGCCCCGGCUAACUUCGUG
Molecule: ribosomal RNA, 434 nt
Filed under: uncultured bacterium
Lineage: Bacteria
Description: partial 16S ribosomal RNA
Rfam family: Bacterial small subunit ribosomal RNA
Source: RNAcentral